GGGUGCGAUCAUACCAGCACAAAUGCACCGGAUCCCAUCAGAACUCCGAAGUUAAACGUGCUUGGGCGAGAGUAGUACUAAGAUGGGUGUCCUCUUGGGAAGUCCUCGUGUUGCACCCU
Non-coding RNA from Ricinus communis (castor bean), 119 nucleotides. NCBI's taxonomy places the organism in Eukaryota, Viridiplantae, Streptophyta, Magnoliopsida, Malpighiales, Euphorbiaceae. The record is from Rfam.